GAGAGAGACAUGCGCGCAAUAUCAAUAAGCGGAGGAAAAGAAACUAACAAGGAUUCCCUUAGUAACGGCGAGUGAAGCGGGAAGAGCUCAAAUUUGAAAUCUUCAAGGUUUUACCUUGACGAAUUGUAGUUUAAAGAAGUGUUUUCUGCUGAAGUUUUGGUAAAAGUUCCUUGGAAUAGGACAUCAUAGAGGGUGAGAAUCCCGUAUUUGACCAUUAUUUUCAGCUUUGUGAUACACUUUCAAAGAGUCGGAUUGUUUGGGAAUGCAGUCCAAAAUGGGUGGUAAAUUUCAUCUAAAGCUAAAUAUUGGCGAGAGACCGAUAGCGAACAAGUACCGUGAGGGAAAGAUGAAAAGAACUUUGAAAAGAGAGUUAAACAGUACGUGAAAUUGUCAAAAGGGAGCGUUUGACACCAGUGUUGUUUUCUCGAAAAUCAAUUAAAAAUGGCUCGAUUUUGUAUUGUUGAGACCUUAAAAGCUCACUGUACAUUUUUCGUGUCUUUUUUAAUGCACUUUUCGUUUAACAAGUCAACAUCAGUUUCUUUUGUUGUAAAAGGGUCAUUGGAAGGUGGCUUUCUUUUCGGAGAAAGUGUUUAUAGCCUUUGGCCUCUGCAAUCGGAGAGACUGAGGUCUGCAGCGUAGACUCUUCGGGGUUAGAUACAUUUGUGCUAAGUUAUAGCUUUUUAUAGACAACUUGUUGACUAUAAUUAGUCUUGUAGCUUACUCGCUUAUGCUAUUUUACCUACGCUUAGGAUGUUGAAGAUGUAGCACAUCAU
RNAcentral lists this ribosomal RNA (773 nucleotides) under uncultured Neocallimastigales. Its description in RNAcentral is "partial large subunit ribosomal RNA". It matches the Rfam family "Eukaryotic large subunit ribosomal RNA", at positions 36 to 634 of the family's 3401-position model. The record is from RNAcentral. Lineage: Eukaryota; Fungi; Neocallimastigomycota; Neocallimastigomycetes; Neocallimastigales.